RNAcentral lists this ribosomal RNA (1631 nucleotides) under Epicrionops cf. marmoratus UMMZ 190478. RNAcentral's name for it is "16S ribosomal RNA". It matches the Rfam family "Bacterial large subunit ribosomal RNA", at positions 424 to 2925 of the family's 2925-position model. The record is from RNAcentral. Lineage: Eukaryota; Metazoa; Chordata; Amphibia; Gymnophiona; Rhinatrematidae.
ACUAACAACCUAGCCCAAACAACCAAUCCACCCCAUAUACAAUCUUCCCCCUCCCCCAAUUAAAACAUUCAUCUUUUAAGUAUAGGAGAUAGAAACAAUCACUUUGGAGCCAUACAAAAAGUACCGCAAGGGAAAGCUGAAAAAGAAAUGAAACAACCCAUCAAAGUAACAAAAAGCAAGGAUCAGCCCCCGUACCUUUCGCAUCAUGAUCUAGCAAGAACAUUCGAAGGCAAAAUGAAUUUCAGUCUUACCCCCCGAAACUAGACGAGCUAUUUAAAAGCAACCCCCUGGGAUAAUCCGUCUCUGUGGCAAAAGAGUGGAAAGACUUUUAAAUAGAGGCGACAAACCUAACGAGCCUAGUGAUAGCUGGUUGCUCGAUUAAUGAGUAUAAGCUCAGCCUUAAAUCUUAUCAAAAUAAUCAAACCAUAGACAUAAAAAUUUAAGACCUAUUCAUCAGAGGUACAGCUCUCAUGAAAAAGGAUACAACCUACAACAUCGGGUAAUGAUUAUACUGCCCCAGGUAACAACACCCAUGUUGGCUUAAAAGCAGCCAUCAACCAGAAAGCGUCACAGCUCAAAUGCAACCUAAACUUAUAAUUACUAUUACUUUUCAGAACCCACCAAACCAAACGAGCCCAUUUAUAACUAUAUAACCAAGUCGAUACUAGAAUUAGUAACAAGAAAACAAGAUUUUCUCAAAGCGCAAGCGUAAGUCAGACCGGACCCAACACUAACAACUACCGACCCAAACGACUAUGGCAUUAAUAUUAACAAACGAGAAGCCCACUAGCCUAACCCCACCGUUAACCCGACACAGGAGCGCAUUCACGAAAGAUUUAAAGAUAAAGAAGGAACUAGGCAAACAAUCAAGGUCCCGCCUGUUUACCAAAAACAUCGUCUCUAGCAAACAUCACAUACAUUAGAGAUACUGCCUGCCCAGUGAUAUUGAUUCAACGGCCGCGGUAUUCUGACCGUGCAAAGGUAGCGUAAUCACUUGUCUUUUAAAUAAAGACUAGUAUGAACGGCAAAACGAGGACUUAACUGUCUCCUUUAUCCUAUCAGUGAAAUUGAUCUUUCCGUACAAAAGCGGAAAUAACACCACAAGACGAGAAGACCCCAUGGAGCUUCAAACACGCAGUCAACUACAUUACACAAUCUACCACAAAAACAUGAAGACCUGACUCCCUGUUUUCGGUUGGGGCGACCACGGAGCAAUAUCAACCCUCCGAGAUGAUAACCACCUAAACUAAGGAACACCCCCCAAAGUAUCAGAAAUUCUGACACAAUUGACCCAAACCCUUGAUCAACGAACCAAGUUACCCUGGGGAUAACAGCGCCAUCCUUUCAAAGAGUCCCCAUCAACGAAAGGGUUUACGACCUCGAUGUUGGAUCAGGAUACCCAAGUGGUGCAACAGCCACUAAAGGUUCGUUUGUUCAACGAUUAAUAAUCCUACGUGAUCUGAGUUCAGACCGGAGCAAUCCAGGUCAGUUUCUAUCUGUGAAUAAUCUUUUCUAGUACGAAAGGACCGAAAAGAUACGGCCAAUAUAUAAAUAUAAGCCCUCCCUGACAAAUAUGAAAACAACUAAAAACAAAACAGGGCCUCACCCCCACCCCAAAAUAUAAGGGGUUU